RNAcentral lists this ribosomal RNA (495 nucleotides) under uncultured bacterium. Its description in RNAcentral is "partial 16S ribosomal RNA". It matches the Rfam family "Bacterial small subunit ribosomal RNA", at positions 28 to 507 of the family's 1533-position model. The record is from RNAcentral.
GACGAACGCUGGCGGCGUGCCUAAUACAUGCAAGUAGAACGCUGAAGGAGGAGCUUGCUUCUCUGGAUGAGUUGCGAACGGGUGAGUAACGCGUAGGUAACCUGCCUGGUAGCGGGGGAUAACUAUUGGAAACGAUAGCUAAUACCGCAUAAUAGCAGUUGUUGCAUGACAACUGUUUGAAAGGUGCAAUUGCACCACUACCAGAUGGACCUGCGUUGUAUUAGCUAGUUGGUGGGGUAACGGCUCACCAAGGCGACGAUACAUAGCCGACCUGAGAGGGUGAUCGGCCACACUGGGACUGAGACACGGCCCAGACUCCUACGGGAGGCAGCAGUAGGGAAGCUUCGGCAAUGGACGGAAGUCUGACCGAGCAACGCCGCGUGAGUGAAGAAGGUUUUCGGAUCGUAAAGCUCUGUUGUAGGAGAAGAACGAGUGUGAGAGUGGAAAGUUCACACUGUGACGGUAGCUUACCAGAAAGGGACGGCUAACUACGUG